AGAGUUUGAUCCUGGCUCAGAACGAACGCUGGCGGCGCGUUUUAAGCAUGCAAGUCGAACGGUAACCAUCCUUCGGGAUGGCUAGAGUGGCGGACGGGUGAGUAACACGUAGGUGAUCUGCCCUUGAGUUGGGGAUAGCCCAUGGAAACAUGGGGUAAUACCGAAUACGCUCGGGACCCUUUGGGGAUCUGAGGAAAAGCGCUUCGGCGCUGCUCGAGGAUGAGCCUGCGGCUGAUUAGUUAGUUGGCGGGGUAAUGGCCCACCAAGGCAACGAUCAGUAGCCGGCCUGAGAGGGUGAACGGCCACACUGGGACUGAGAUACGGCCCAGACUCCUACGGGAGGCAGCAGCUAAGAAUCUUCUGCAAUGGACGAAAGUCUGACAGAGCGACGCCGCGUGGGUGAAGAAGGCCGGAAGGUUGUAAAACCCUUUUCUAUUCGAGGAAUAACCGCAGGAGGCAAUGCCUGCGAGAUGACGGUAGGGUAGGAAUAAGCCCCGGCCAAUUACGUGCCAGCAGCCGCGGUAACACGUAUGGGGCGAGCGUUGUUCGGAAUCAUUGGGCGUAAAGGGCGCGUAGGCGGAUAUGCAAGCUUGGUGUGAAAGACCGCAGCUUAACUGCGGGAGCGCGCUGAGAACUGCAUGUCUAGAGUUCAAGAGGGGAAGCUGGAAUUCCAGGUGUA
This 679-nucleotide ribosomal RNA is filed under the name uncultured bacterium. RNAcentral describes it as "bacterial SSU rRNA". It matches the Rfam family "Bacterial small subunit ribosomal RNA", at positions 8 to 677 of the family's 1533-position model. The record is from RNAcentral.